Molecule: ribosomal RNA, 438 nt
Filed under: uncultured bacterium
Lineage: Bacteria
Description: bacterial SSU rRNA
Rfam family: Bacterial small subunit ribosomal RNA
Source: RNAcentral
GUUAGGAAUCUUCCGCAAUGGACGGAAGUCUGACGGAGCGACGCCGCUUGGAGGAGGAAGCCCUUCGGGGUGUAAACUCCUGAACUGGGGACGAAAGCCCUGUGUAGGGGGAUGACGGUACCCAGGUAAUAGCGCCGGCCAACUCCGUGCCAGCAGCCGCGGUAAUACGGAGGGCGCGAGCGUUACCCGGAUUUACUGGGCGUAAAGGGCGUGUAGGCGGCCUGGGGCGUCCCAUGUGAAAGGCCACGGCUCAACCGUGGAGGAGCGUGGGAUACGCUCAGGCUAGAGGGUGGGAGAGGGUGGUGGAAUUCCCGGAGUAGCGGUGAAAUGCGCAGAUACCGGGAGGAACGCCGAUGGCGAAGGCAGCCACCUGGUCCACUUCUGACGCUGAGGCGCGAAAGCGUGGGGAGCAAACCGGAUUAGAUACCCUUGUAGUCC